GAGGCUGUAGCUCACUGGUAGAGCACUUGCCUAGCCCAUGUGAGACCCUGAGUUCAAUCCUCAGCACCACA
Molecule: transfer RNA, 71 nt
Filed under: Marmota monax (woodchuck)
Lineage: Eukaryota; Metazoa; Chordata; Mammalia; Rodentia; Sciuridae
Description: tRNA.Undet
Source: RNAcentral